UGCUCUUGUCUCUUGCUUGCUUUUGCUGUCUUCUGCCUGCCAUGAACUGUUUGUCUUCUGUGAUUCCCCUCUGUCAUGCCAACCUGCCUUGGAGCCAGCCGAUUGUGGACAGAAAUCUCUGCAAACUCAGGGGAGCACCAACACUGAAAAUGCACACUGCAAGCAAACUGAACUGAACUGAAGAUGUGCCCAGGUCAGGAGGCAAAGGAAGAGACUUGCGAGGAAGGAAACCUGGAUGGGAACAGAAUGACACUGAAGUCAACAUACAAUAGCUUGGGGAAGAGAUUUGAAGAGAUCACAAUCCUAGAAACACGCUAACACUGUGGUAAACUCAUUCUGUGGGAGAGGCAGCAAGUCCAAAUGAGAUAUUUCCAACUGAAAAAAUGCAUGUCAAACUUGAUUCCUUCAAAGGA
Molecule: long non-coding RNA, 413 nt
Organism: Fukomys damarensis (Damara mole-rat)
Lineage: Eukaryota; Metazoa; Chordata; Mammalia; Rodentia; Bathyergidae
Exons: 3
Source: RefSeq, a predicted model, not a curated record